This 77-nucleotide transfer RNA is filed under the name Hyphomicrobiales bacterium. RNAcentral's name for it is "tRNA-His". It matches the Rfam family "tRNA". From Rfam's summary of the family: Transfer RNA (tRNA) molecules are approximately 80 nucleotides in length. Lineage: Bacteria; Pseudomonadati; Pseudomonadota; Alphaproteobacteria; Hyphomicrobiales. RNAcentral also lists the same sequence under 3 other names. The record is from RNAcentral.
GCCGCUGUAGCUCAGUUGGUUAGAGCGCCUGAUUGUGGAUCAGGAGGUCCUUGGUUCGAAUCCAAGCAGUGGUACCA